GAUGAAGAACGUAGCGAAAUGCGAUAAGUAAUGUGAAUUGCAGAAUUCAGUGAAUCAUCGAAUCUUUGAACGCACAUUGCGCCCGCUAGUAUUCUGGCGGGCAUGCCUGUUCGAGCGUCAUUUCAACCAUCAAGCCCUGUUUAGGCUUGUGUUGGGGCCCUGCGGCUGCCGCAGCCCCCUAAAUGCAGUGGCGGGCUCGUUGUCACUCCGAGCGCAGUAGCGUCUCUCGCUCUGGGCGUGGCGGCGGGUGCUAGCCGUGAAACACCCACUAAGGUUGACCUCGGAUCAGGUAGGAAUACCCGCUGAACUUAAGCAUAUCAAUAAGCGGAGGA
RNAcentral lists this unclassified non-coding RNA (332 nucleotides) under soil metagenome. RNAcentral's name for it is "partial contains 5.8S ribosomal RNA, internal transcribed spacer 2, and large subunit ribosomal RNA". The stretch from base 1 to 120 matches the Rfam family "5.8S ribosomal RNA", at positions 35 to 154 of the family's 154-position model. The record is from RNAcentral.